This 253-nucleotide ribosomal RNA is filed under the name uncultured Zavarzinella sp. RNAcentral describes it as "partial 16S ribosomal RNA". It matches the Rfam family "Bacterial small subunit ribosomal RNA", at positions 524 to 776 of the family's 1533-position model. The record is from RNAcentral. Lineage: Bacteria; Pseudomonadati; Planctomycetota; Planctomycetia; Gemmatales; Gemmataceae.
GACGAACCGUGCAAACGUUGUUCGGAAUCACUGGGCUUAAAGGGUGUGUAGGCGGGCCGGCCAGUCUGUGGUGAAAGCCUCCAGCUUAACUGGAGAAGUGCCAUGGAUACUGCCGGUCUUGAGGAGGGUAGGGGCAUCUGGAACGGUCGGUGGAGCGGUGAAAUGCGUUGAUAUCGACCGGAACUCCGGUGGCGAAGGCGAGGUGCUGGACCCUUUCUGACGCUGAAACACGAAAGCCAGGGGAGCAAACGGG